Hemicordylus capensis (graceful crag lizard) is the source of this 1622-nucleotide long non-coding RNA. RefSeq lists it as uncharacterized. The record is from RefSeq and is a predicted model, not a curated record. The transcript is spliced from 2 exons. Lineage: Eukaryota; Metazoa; Chordata; Lepidosauria; Squamata; Cordylidae.
GGGACAGCACUUGCCUCCAGACUAGAAACACGCCAUUUUCACAUGAAGAGGGAAAAAGAGAGCAGCCAUUGCUGCAGCUGCCAAUACUGAGGUGAUAUUCUAGCUAUUUCUUAGGUAUGGGAUCUAGGAAAAAGGAGUGGCAACACCUAGAGAUAGAUGGCUGUCAGGUGCUAGAACACAUGCAGUUAUGGGAUGGUUUACAUUUGAAGCUUAUUUGCAAUGCAGUGAUGAUAUUUUUAUUUCUAGAAUUGAACAUAUAUAAAUACCAUAGCAAGGAAGCAUGCGAAAACUGCAUUAUUUCAGAAGUGAAAAUGGACAUUUUUUAAGGGAGAAAAAUAAGGUGCAACAAAUUUGUGAUCUAUGUAUUUUGUAUGCUCAUGGUAGAGUAGCAAUAAUUCUGAAGCAGUACCAAUAAACCAAUAGCAAAUUUCUUUGUAGCCUCUCAGUGUUUCUCUUUUGCAGUCUGUUCUUAGUGGGUAUGUAAAACAAUGUGAAUCAUGUCUGUAGCAUAAUCUCUUUACAAGGAUCGAUUUAGAAUUUAGAAAGAGUGAGUAAAUGAAUGUGUAUGUUGUAUUGCUGUAUGGAUGUUCCUAAAAUCUAUGAUAAUUCUUAGAAACAAGAGAAUAAAGGUUUUUAAAGAAUCAUUGCUAAAAAUAAAUGGAAAAAAAUUGUUCUGUUUGCCAGAUCCUGAGCUUCCCAUCCUUUCCCAACUUGUACUCUUUUGUUUGCAACUGAGUUUAUAUAUCAUCACCAUUUCAGACUACAUACUUUUUCUUAAACAUUCACUGCGUACUCAUUUGAAUCAUGAAGAUCAAACAUAACACGGAACAAUUCUUCAAACAGGUAAAGCAAUUUUCCAACAUCUACUGUGCCUGGGAGAAAAAACAAUCUCCAUACAAGGGGAUGCUUUCUUGCUCAGUUUGCCCUUUUGUUUCCUCUAAAUUAAAACAUUCAAAUGGCUAUAGCUUAAAUUAUUUUAAAUGUAGACAUUACUGUGUUCAUUCUGUAUAUGCAAAUUUAAGUGUUAUUAUGUAUGACACUCUUUUUUUCCUCAUUCAGCUGUGGAUAUCAAGUUUUAAAACAUGCUGCCCUGGUAAAAUGGUGUGCUAGCUUUAUAUAUAUAUAUAUAUAUAUUCUAAUCUGACAAUGUUAAAUAAUGAAUGUCAUCUUAAUCUUAUUUGCUUGGCAGAGGCAUGGGGUAGAAACUUGAUAUAGAAUGUAAACAAUGAAGAAAAUUGUUACAUGUUUGAUUACAGUUACAAGAUUACAGGAAUUUAACAGCAGGAUUUUCUUUGUAUUAGAAAUAAUAUUAUUGCAGUUAAUUAUGUAUUUAUCUACUUAUAUAUAGAACUUUUCAACUGAAUGUAUUUAUGAAAUGCAUUAUGGUUCUUUUGUUUCUUGAAAGGUCCAACUUUACUAUAUUAAAAUACGACUUCCAUAAUAUUUCCUGAGCACAAUAAGCAGGACAACAAAACUGCAACAUAAGAUGGUCCAUAUGGAUAUUUGGGGUAGGAGAGGCUUCCAGUGCCCAGAAAGUGCCUUACUCUGUGGAUAAUGUUAUUUAUUGUAACAAAAGAAUUUUCAAAUAAAUAAAGGCAGUAGACAUGAUUGCAUUCACAAAA